This 1266-nucleotide long non-coding RNA is filed under the name Bos grunniens (domestic yak). Its description in RNAcentral is "lncRNA (ENSBGRG00000007225.1)". Lineage: Eukaryota; Metazoa; Chordata; Mammalia; Artiodactyla; Bovidae. The record is from RNAcentral.
CCCUAUCUUCUCUCUCCCUUCCACCUGCCCACCCCAGUGCAUGGGGAUAUGAACCAGCUGCCUGGAUCCAGCUCCCUCACUGAAGGAAAUCCAUGAUCAGAGCAGAAGCUGGCCCGGCCUAGAGACUCUCUGCCAGCCACAGGGUUGCAGACCAGAUAGGCUUCUUCCUCCAAGCCAAGAUAAGCAUCUGAGCUUUAUCUCACCUCACCCUCUGAUUCCCCCACCACCACCAUCUCCAGGACCAUACCCCCCGCCAGCCACACCAUGGCAGGCCAAGGCCAGGGGGAGCACAGAUAAGGCCCUCCUGGCCAGCAGACCACAGCAGGAGACGGGGGCGGGGGCGGGGGUGUAUUCUUCCUUUUAUCCACCCGAAGCCAGAAUUCUGCUUCCUUCCCUAGAGGCAGGCCCCAAGAGAGCAUCUGGGCAGCCCUCUCAGCUACUUAGGUUGGGGCCCUGCAUUUGGCCUCCAGCAUUCAGCAUUUAUUAUGUCCUAACCGAUUUACCUCUCAUUUUGGGAGCCAAUCAAAGGCAGAAAACCCUGUCAAUCUGAGCACCAGGGAAGCAGGAGAGUACAGUGUGGGCGGCCACUGCAUAGGAAGGACUCUUCCAGAUUUCUCGGCAGGUAAACUGACGGCCACUGGGAAUCUCUUGAGCCUGACGACCAGGGCCCACAUCCAAACUGCUAAGCACUCUUUCACAGACACCUCCUCCCUGCCAGGCCCAUGUUGCAUACUGGGGUCACAGAUCCAGGCCCAGCUGUCGCAGAGCACCUGGGAACCCAAAUGAGCAGCACAUAACCGAGCCUGGGAAAUCCAGGGAGACUUCACAGAGGAGGUGACAUUUCAUCUGAAUUUAUAUAUAUAUGCAUGUAUAUAUAAUUUUUCUAUUUACUUUUGGCUGUGCCGGGUCUUCACUGCCGCACGGUUUUUCUCUAGCUGCAGCGAGCGGGGGCUACUCUCCAGUGGUGGAGCAGGCUUCUCACUGCGGAGGCUUCACUUGGUGCGGACCAUGGGCUCUAGGGACACGGGCUUCAGUAGUUGGGGCACGCGGGCUCAGUGACUGUAGGCUCAGCUCUACAGCACAGGCUCAAUAGUUGUGGCGCACGGGCUUAGCUGCUACAUGGCAUGUGAGAUCUUCCCAGAUCAGGAUCGAACCCAUGUCUCCUGUAAUGGCAGGCAGAUUCUUUACCACUGAGCCACCAGGGAGGCCCCUCAGCUGAAUUUUAAAGGAUAAAAGGGAUUUCUUCAGACACAAAGAUAAAACGGA